This 468-nucleotide ribosomal RNA is filed under the name uncultured bacterium. Its description in RNAcentral is "partial 16S ribosomal RNA". It matches the Rfam family "Bacterial small subunit ribosomal RNA", at positions 28 to 507 of the family's 1533-position model. The record is from RNAcentral.
GACGAACGCUGGCGGUGUGCUUAACACAUGCAAGUCGAACGGUAAGGCCCUUUCUGGGGUACACGAGUGGCGAACGGGUGCGUAACACGUGCGUAACCUUCCCUCAUCUCUGGGAUAACAGUCGGAACCGGUUGCUAAUACUGGUUAUGAGCUUUCACUGCAUCUUGUGGGUUGGAAAGAUUUUUUUUGGUUGGGGAUGGACUCGCGGCCUAUCAGCUUGUUGGUGAGGUAGUGGCUCACCAAGGCUUCGACGGGUAGCCGGCCUGAGAGGGCGACCGGCCACAUUGGGACUGAGAUACGGACCAAACUCCGACGGGAGGCAGCAGUGGGGAAUAUUGCACAAUGGACGGAAGUCUGAUGCAGCAACGCCGCGUGCGGGAUGACGGCCUUCGGGUUGUAAACAGCUUUCAAUUGUGACGAAGCUUUUUUGUGACGGUAGCAGUAGAAGAAGCACCGGCUAACUACGUG